RNAcentral lists this ribosomal RNA (460 nucleotides) under uncultured bacterium. Its description in RNAcentral is "partial 16S ribosomal RNA". It matches the Rfam family "Bacterial small subunit ribosomal RNA", at positions 338 to 795 of the family's 1533-position model. The record is from RNAcentral.
CCUACGGGAGGCAGCAGUGAGGAAUAUUGGUCAAUGGACGAGAGUCUGAACCAGCCAAGUAGCGUGAAGGAUGACUGCCCUAUGGGUUGUAAACUUCUUUUAUAUGGGAAUAAAAUGUUCCACGUGUGGGAUUUUGUAUGUACCAUAUGAAUAAGGAUCGGCUAACUCCGUGCCAGCAGCCGCGGUAAUAUGGAGGAUCCGAGCGUUAUCCGGAUUUAUUGGGUUUAAAGGGAGCGUAGGUGGAUUGUUAAGUCAGUUGUGAAAGUUUGCGGCUCAACCGUAAAAUUGCAGUUGAAACUGGCAGUCUUGAGUACAGUAGAGGUGGGCGGAAUUCGUGGUGUAGCGGUGAAAUGCUUAGAUAUCACGAAGAACUCCGAUUGCGAAGGCAGUUCACUGGACUGCAACUGACACUGAGGCUCGAAAGUGUGGGUAUCAAACAGGAUUAGAUACCCGAGUAGUC